AAGAAAAUGAGCAGCCUGAUCUGGAUGUCAUUUCAAGAGGUCUUCCAUCUGGAUGGAAGGCUUAUUGGGAUGAUUCGACGAAGCAGGUCUAUUAUGGAAAAGCUGUGACAUCAGAAACGUCCUGGAAUAGACCAACUAACUGACGAGGAUCAAUAGGAGUUCCUAUAUUACAUACUUUUUAUAACACCAGUGGUUCUAAUAUUAUUAGCAGUUGCUAUCUUGUAUAUAUGUAAGGUUGUAGUGAUGUGAUCCAG
RNAcentral lists this unclassified non-coding RNA (254 nucleotides) under Hevea brasiliensis (rubber tree). Lineage: Eukaryota; Viridiplantae; Streptophyta; Magnoliopsida; Malpighiales; Euphorbiaceae. The record is from RNAcentral.